Molecule: ribosomal RNA, 808 nt
Filed under: Streptomyces cyaneofuscatus
Lineage: Bacteria; Bacillati; Actinomycetota; Actinomycetes; Kitasatosporales; Streptomycetaceae
Description: bacterial SSU rRNA
Rfam family: Bacterial small subunit ribosomal RNA
Source: RNAcentral
AGUCGAACGAUGAAGCCUUUCGGGGUGGAUUAGUGGCGAACGGGUGAGUAACACGUGGGCAAUCUGCCCUUCACUCUGGGACAAGCCCUGGAAACGGGGUCUAAUACCGGAUAACACUCUGUCCCGCAUGGGACGGGGUUAAAAGCUCCGGCGGUGAAGGAUGAGCCCGCGGCCUAUCAGCUUGUUGGUGGGGUAAUGGCCUACCAAGGCGACGACGGGUAGCCGGCCUGAGAGGGCGACCGGCCACACUGGGACUGAGACACGGCCCAGACUCCUACGGGAGGCAGCAGUGGGGAAUAUUGCACAAUGGGCGAAAGCCUGAUGCAGCGACGCCGCGUGAGGGAUGACGGCCUUCGGGUUGUAAACCUCUUUCAGCAGGGAAGAAGCGAAAGUGACGGUACCUGCAGAAGAAGCGCCGGCUAACUACGUGCCAGCAGCCGCGGUAAUACGUAGGGCGCAAGCGUUGUCCGGAAUUAUUGGGCGUAAAGAGCUCGUAGGCGGCUUGUCACGUCGGAUGUGAAAGCCCGGGGCUUAACCCCGGGUCUGCAUUCGAUACGGGCUAGCUAGAGUGUGGUAGGGGAGAUCGGAAUUCCUGGUGUAGCGGUGAAAUGCGCAGAUAUCAGGAGGAACACCGGUGGCGAAGGCGGAUCUCUGGGCCAUUACUGACGCUGAGGAGCGAAAGCGUGGGGAGCGAACAGGAUUAGAUACCCUGGUAGUCCACGCCGUAAACGUUGGGAACUAGGUGUUGGCGACAUUCCACGUCGUCGGUGCCGGCAGCUAACGCAUUAAGUUCCCCGCCUGGGGAGUA